CGACCAGCUCAGUUGGUAGAGCAGAGGACUGCAGUUGUCACAGAUAAUCCUUAGGUCACUAGUUCGAAUCUGGCAGGUCGG
This 81-nucleotide transfer RNA is filed under the name Punica granatum (pomegranate). It matches the Rfam family "tRNA". Rfam says of the family: Transfer RNA (tRNA) molecules are approximately 80 nucleotides in length. Lineage: Eukaryota; Viridiplantae; Streptophyta; Magnoliopsida; Myrtales; Lythraceae. The record is from Rfam by way of RNAcentral.